Molecule: long non-coding RNA, 595 nt
Filed under: Harpegnathos saltator (Jerdon's jumping ant)
Lineage: Eukaryota; Metazoa; Arthropoda; Insecta; Hymenoptera; Formicidae
Description: uncharacterized LOC112590107
Source: RNAcentral
GGGUAUAUAAUCCCGGCAGAUUUUGACGAAAGGGAAGUCUCCAGAGUUCUGUCUCCGCAGAUAGUUCUUUCCGAGAGAGGAUCAACCGAGAAGCUCCUGCCGAAUUCGACCCCGGGAAGGCAAGAGCUGACCAGCUAGGAUUUAGCACAUCAACCCAGCGCGCAAGGAAUACUCGCGUCGCCCGCACCCCUCGACCACCAAGGCAGUCGACACUGCGGCCGAGGACAAAAAACGAGCGCGACAUGCCGCGACGCAUUCUUGUACUGGUUUUCGCGACCCGUCGUCAAGUCGCGUGCCGAAUCGCCCAAACUCCAGCUUUAAAUCACGGCGGAAACACUAGCAGCGCAUAUUAUAGGAUCGGGGCGCACACCGCGCGAUCACUAAUCGGCUCCACACUCACCGUCUGUAUGAAUCAAGCGCCAUACGAGAUACUUGCGUAAUUAAGCAUCAAGCAAAUCGCUCACUCACAACUGUGACCCCGCGUGGAUCGUAGCGACCGCGGAAACAACUCGCACGAUCACCAAACACCCAAACAUUGUGACGUCGCGUCGUGGCACGCGGUCGUAACGUGCAAAUAAAGACUUAUUGUGUUAUA